RNAcentral lists this ribosomal RNA (266 nucleotides) under uncultured Cortinarius. Its description in RNAcentral is "partial 28S ribosomal RNA". It matches the Rfam family "Eukaryotic large subunit ribosomal RNA", at positions 1 to 257 of the family's 3401-position model. Lineage: Eukaryota; Fungi; Basidiomycota; Agaricomycetes; Agaricales; Cortinariaceae. The record is from RNAcentral.
GUGACCUCAAAUCAGGUAGGACUACCCGCUGAACUUAAGCAUAUCAAUAAGCGGAGGAAAAGAAACUAACAAGGAUUCCCCUAGUAACUGCGAGUGAAGCGGGAAAAGCUCAAAUUUAAAAUCUGGCGGUCUUUUGGCUGUCCGAGUUGUAAUCUAGAGAAGUGUUAUCCGCGCUGGACCGUGUACAAGUCUCCUGGAAUGGAGCAUCAUAGAGGGUGAGAAUCCCGUCUUUGACAUGGACUGCCAGGGCUUUUGUGAUGCGCUCU